RNAcentral lists this ribosomal RNA (1024 nucleotides) under uncultured bacterium. Its description in RNAcentral is "bacterial SSU rRNA". It matches the Rfam family "Bacterial small subunit ribosomal RNA", at positions 28 to 1029 of the family's 1533-position model. The record is from RNAcentral.
AUUGAACGCUGGCGGCGUGCUUAACACAUGCAAGUCGAACGUGAAAGUCCUUCGGGGCGAGUAAAGUGGCGCACGGGUGAGUAACGCGUGGAUAAUCUACCCUUAAGAUGGGGAUAACGGCUGGAAACGGUCGCUAAUACCGAAUACGCUCCCGAUUUUAUCGUUGGGGGGAAAGAUGGCCUCUGCUUGCAAGCUAUCGCUUAAGGAUGAGUCCGCGUCCCAUUAGCUAGUUGGCGGGGUAACGGCCCACCAAGGCGACGAUGGGUAGCCGGUCUGAGAGGAUGACCGGCCACACUGGAACUGGAACACGGUCCAGACUCCUACGGGAGGCAGCAGUGGGGAAUAUUGCGCAAUGGGCGAAAGCCUGACGCAGCGACGCCGCGUGAGGGAUGAAGGUUCUCGGAUCGUAAACCUCUGUCAGGGGGGAAGAAACCCCCUCGUGUGAAUAAUGCGAGGGCUUGACGGUACCCCCAAAGGAAGCACCGGCUAACUCCGUGCCAGCAGCCGCGGUAAUACGGAGGGUGCAAGCGUUAAUCGGAAUCACUGGGCGUAAAGCGCACGUAGGCGGCUUGGUAAGUCAGGGGUGAAAUCCCACAGCCCAACUGUGGAACUGCCUUUGAUACUGCCAGGCUUGAGUACCGGAGAGGGUGGCGGAAUUCCAGGUGUAGGAGUGAAAUCCGUAGAUAUCUGGAGGAACACCGGUGGCGAAGGCGGCCACCUGNACGGUAACUGACGCUGAGGUGCGAAAGCGUGGGUAGCAAACAGGAUUAGAUACCCUGGNAGUCCACGCUGUAAACGAUGGGUGCUGGGUGCUGGGAUGUAUGUCUCGGUGCCGUANCUAACGCGAUAAGCACCCCGNCCNGGGGAGUACGGUCGCAAGGCUGAANNUCNNNGAAAUUGNNGGGGGCCCGCACAAGCGGUGGAGUAAUGGUGGUUUAAUUCGAUGCACGGCGAAGAACCUUUACCCAGGCUUGACAUCUAGGGAACCUUCCGGAAAUGAAGGGGUGGCCUUUCGGGGGAGCCC